GAACGCACAGCGAAAGGUGCUUGCACCUUUCAAGUGAGUGGCGAACGGGUGAGUAACACGUGGACAACCUGCCUCAAGGCUGGGGAUAACAUUUGGAAACAGAUGCUAAUACCGAAUAAAACUUAGUAUCGCAUGAUACCAGGUUAAAAGGCGCUACGGCGUCACCUAGAGAUGGAUCCGCGGUGCAUUAGUUAGUUGGUGGGGUAAAGGCCUACCAAGACAAUGAUGCAUAGCCGAGUUGAGAGACUGAUCGGCCACAUUGGGACUGAGACACGGCCCAAACUCCUACGGGAGGCUGCAGUAGGGAAUCUUCCACAAUGGGCGAAAGCCUGAUGGAGCAACGCCGCGUGUGUGAUGAAGGCUUUCGGGUCGUAAAGCACUGUUGUAUGGGAAGAAAUGCUAAAAUAGGGAAUGAUUUUAGUUUGACGGUACCAUACCAGAAAGGGACGGCUAAAUAC
This 458-nucleotide ribosomal RNA is filed under the name uncultured bacterium. RNAcentral's name for it is "bacterial SSU rRNA". It matches the Rfam family "Bacterial small subunit ribosomal RNA", at positions 64 to 504 of the family's 1533-position model. The record is from RNAcentral.